UUUCGUUUCAAUCACUAAAGCGAUGCUGUUUCCCAUUGCAUUUAAGGGUUGACUGUGUAAGAACCGUGGCUCAGGGAUGCUUCUUCUCUUCCACUUCUUUGCUAACUGUGGAUUUGAAAUUCAAAAGCCUCCUCCUACUCCCCCACUGAGAGUUUCAGAACCUGUUAAUCCCCUGGAAUCUUUGCACUCUCAAGGGACCCUGUCACUUCUUUUGCCUAAGCUGUAAGUGUAGCUGAAGGAAGGGGCUAUUACAGGGGAAAGACUAGGAGACAAAGAGCCAAAGAGAGGACUUUUUUCUCUUUUCCUAUUGCAUAAAAACUGAUAUAACACAAAACUAGUCCUCGGGGCCCCUGAUCUACAAGCAACCUCCACUACCAAACAGCUGCUCAGCCGGAGAAAGGCUUCCAAAAAGACUGCCUAGAAUAUCUGUGUGCAAGGGUGAGCAUCUCCCAAAGUGUCCGUGACUGCUGACAGAGCUGGAGAAAGCCUGGCUGCUUUCCAGGGUAAGCUGCUGACAGGAUAUUUUAAGAACUUGAAGAGAGGAAAAACUAAAGAAUGGAUAAAAGUUGGAGCUGAAUCUAGGUUCAGCUGUGAUGAUCUGAAUGGAUACGGGAUCAAGAACAGAACUUGAAAGCUCCCUUGGUUUCUUAAAAGGACUUUUGUGAAGUUUCAAAUCCUCUGCAGAGAAUAAGAGAAUAGAAUUCAUAGAAAUAGAAAGACCCAAAACCUAGUAUUGAUAAGACCACCCCUCUACCUCUCAUCAACACAGGCACCAGCUUUAAGUAUCUUGAGAUAACCAAGAUGUUUUGGUCAUAGAAACAUUUAAGAUUUUCAUGUGAUUACAAGUUUACAAACAGUGAAAUCAUAUGAUUAAGUCUUUAUCAACACUAUGAUUUAAUUCUAACACAUCACCCACAUGUCUCUACAUACUCCAUACAUAAAAUAAAUUUAUUUUAUAUAGUUAUAGCA
RNAcentral lists this long non-coding RNA (969 nucleotides) under Mus spicilegus (steppe mouse). Its description in RNAcentral is "lncRNA (ENSMSIG00000028129.1)". The record is from RNAcentral. Lineage: Eukaryota; Metazoa; Chordata; Mammalia; Rodentia; Muridae.